GCUCAACCGUGGAGGGUCAUUGGAAACUGGGGAACUUGAGUGCGUAAGAGGAGAGUGGAAUUCCCCGUGUAGCGGUGAAAUGCGUAGAGAUGUGGAGGAACACCAGUGGCGAAGGCGACUCUCUGGUCUGUAACUGACGCUGAGGCGCGAAAGCGUGGGGAGCGAACAGGAUUAGAUACCCUGGUAUCCCACGCCGUAAACGAUGAUUGCUAAGUGUGUGAGGGUUUCCGCCCUUUAGUGCUGCAGCUAACGCAUUAAGCACUCCGCCUGGGGAGUACGGUCGCAAGACUGAAACUCAAAGGAAUUGACGGGGGCCCGCACAAGCGGUGGAGCAUGUGGUUUAAUUCGAAGCAACGCGAAAGAACCUUACCAGGGUCUUGACAUCCUUUGAUCACUCGAGAGAUUGGGCUUCCCCUUCGGGAACAAAGAGACAGGUGGUGCAUGGUUGUCGUCAGCUCGUGUCGUGAGGUGUUGGGUUAAGUCUCGCAACGAGCGCAACCCUUGAUCUUAGUUGCCACUAUUAAGUUGGGCACUCUAACAGUGACUGCCGUGUGACAAACCGGAAAAGAGUGGAUAUGACGUCAAAUCAUCAUGCCCCUAUAUGACCUGCGCUACACACGUGCUACAAUGCAUGGUACAAAG
RNAcentral lists this ribosomal RNA (642 nucleotides) under uncultured bacterium. RNAcentral's name for it is "bacterial SSU rRNA". It matches the Rfam family "Bacterial small subunit ribosomal RNA", at positions 607 to 1244 of the family's 1533-position model. The record is from RNAcentral.